This 396-nucleotide ribosomal RNA is filed under the name Triticum aestivum (bread wheat). Its description in RNAcentral is "partial small subunit ribosomal RNA". Lineage: Eukaryota; Viridiplantae; Streptophyta; Magnoliopsida; Poales; Poaceae. The record is from RNAcentral.
AUGUUUCCUGCGAUCAGCAAAUCUGAAUUUCUGUUGCCUAUUUGGUUGCAGCUAGAGUUUGUGGUUUGUUUCGUCUGUCAAUUUUAUUUUACCUUUCCUGGUUACCAUGUUCGGUACACUCAUCCUUGCAAAAGAGAAAUGUAUGGUACCUUCAGUUUGUUAUUACGUCCUACAGGUCUUCGUUUUUUCUCCUCUUGUCUUGCUAGCAAAGCCUAUAACAGAUAUUAUAGCAAGAUUUUAAUUUGGGAUGCAUGCCAUCUAUCAUUACAUGGGCAUGAGGAACAACAUUUUAUACAUGAAAGUUUCCUUCUACAACAUUUGCUUUACCUUCAGAAUUUAUACGCCUUAAGAAAAGCAAUGUUGUUGCUGAGGGAAAACAUGUUUUUGAGAAAUUAA